AUACAUAGAUACAUAUGUAUAU
Molecule: small nuclear RNA, 22 nt
Filed under: Arabidopsis thaliana (thale cress)
Lineage: Eukaryota; Viridiplantae; Streptophyta; Magnoliopsida; Brassicales; Brassicaceae
Description: snRNA_15870
Source: RNAcentral